Molecule: long non-coding RNA, 502 nt
Filed under: Homo sapiens (human)
Lineage: Eukaryota; Metazoa; Chordata; Mammalia; Primates; Hominidae
Description: HSALNT0403724
Source: RNAcentral
UAGCAGUUGGUUCUAGAUCCUUAUGAAUCAAUACAGUAGCAAGAUGAUCAGCUUUUCCACACAAUGAGAUGUCACAAACUAGAUCAUGACUCAAAGAUGAAAAUUCAGGAGAUUUUCUGCCCAGAGCAUGAAAUUUACCAUGGCUGGAACUGUAAAUCUGAUGUAACGUCUGUGGCAAGAAUGGGAGAGGGAGAAAAAUCUUGGCUGGCUCUACUGGGACUGAACACAGCACUGGUAGACAGUGGCCUUGCAGAAAGAAUUGUGGCAGUCAUUGUGGAAUUGGGAACUACCUCAAAAGGUACUAGGAAGAGAAUAGAGGAAGUGGCUUGGACAGGAAGACUGAAGGAGAGAUGCUGAGGCCAAGGGAGCCUCAAGGACUUAGAUAAAGUUUCCAGAAUAACAACCAUCAAGCCAGUAGAGACGGGGUUUCACCAUGUUAGCCAAGAUGCUGCCGAUCUCCUGACCUCGUGAUCUGCCCGCCUCGGCCUCCCAAAGUGCUGGG